AGCAGUUUAAAAUUCACAUUUAAUCACAGGUCCAUUUUAUGUUUACAUGAUCAUUUGGUAUCAUUCUCUUAAAGAUUUCAGGUGCAGGUGGUCAAUACAGAACAUUAUUUACAAGAUGAGAGCCAAGCACAGACUUUAAUACAAUGUCCUCACAAAUGAACAGAAGAAUGACAGGCAUCGGAUUUUAAUGAGCAGGGGCUGAGACUACUAGACUACUAGUUAGAACCAUCUUCCCUGGAAGAGGAGACAAGUUUCGUUCAAUGCAAGAAUUCCCUGAACCACUGAUACCAAUGUCUCAUGUCACGGG
RNAcentral lists this long non-coding RNA (307 nucleotides) under Bos taurus (domestic cattle). RNAcentral's name for it is "long non-coding RNA NONBTAT024296". The record is from RNAcentral. Lineage: Eukaryota; Metazoa; Chordata; Mammalia; Artiodactyla; Bovidae.